CCUACGGGAGGCAGCAGUGGGGAAUAUUGGACAAUGGGCGAAAGCCUGAUCCAGCCAUGCCGCGUGUGUGAAGAAGGCCUUCGGGUUGUAAAGCACUUUCAGUGGGGAAGAAAGCCUUGGGGCUAAUACCCUCGAGGAAGGACAUCACCCACAGAAGAAGCACCGGCUAACUCCGUGCCAGCAGCCGCGGUAAUACGGAGGGUGCGAGCGUUAAUCGGAAUUACUGGGCGUAAAGCGCGCGUAGGCGGUCUGAUAAGCCGGUUGUGAAAGCCCCGGGCUCAACCUGGGAACGGCAUCCGGAACUGUCAGGCUAGAGUGCAGGAGAGGAAGGUAGAAUUCCCGGUGUAGCGGUGAAAUGCGUAGAGAUCGGGAGGAAUACCAGUGGCGAAGGUGGCCUUCUGGACUGACACUGACGCUGAGGUGCGAAAGCGUGGGUAGCAAACAGGAUUAGAUACCCCUGUAGUC
RNAcentral lists this ribosomal RNA (465 nucleotides) under Vreelandella stevensii. Its description in RNAcentral is "partial 16S ribosomal RNA". It matches the Rfam family "Bacterial small subunit ribosomal RNA", at positions 338 to 795 of the family's 1533-position model. The record is from RNAcentral. Lineage: Bacteria; Pseudomonadati; Pseudomonadota; Gammaproteobacteria; Oceanospirillales; Halomonadaceae.